GACGAACGCUGGCGGCGUGCUUAACACAUGCAAGUCGAACGGAAAGGCCCUGCUUUUGUGGGGUGCUCGAGUGGCGAACGGGUGAGUAACACGUGAGUAACCUGCCCUUGACUUUGGGAUAACUUCAGGAAACUGGGGCUAAUACCGGAUAGGAGCUCCUGCUGCAUGGUGGGGGUUGGAAAGUUUCGGCGGUUGGGGAUGGACUCGCGGCUUAUCAGCUUGUUGGUGGGGUAGUGGCUUACCAAGGCUUUGACGGGUAGCCGGCCUGAGAGGGUGACCGGCCACAUUGAGACUGAGAUACGGCCCAGACUCCUACGUGAGGCAGCAGUGGGGAAUAUUGCACAAUGGGCGGAAGCCUGAUGCAGCAACGCCGCGUGCGGGAUGACGGCCUUCGGGUUGUAAACCGCUUUCGCCUGUGACGAAGCGUGAGUGACGGUAAUGGGUAAAGAAGCACCGGCUAACUACGUG
This 468-nucleotide ribosomal RNA is filed under the name uncultured bacterium. RNAcentral describes it as "partial 16S ribosomal RNA". It matches the Rfam family "Bacterial small subunit ribosomal RNA", at positions 28 to 507 of the family's 1533-position model. The record is from RNAcentral.